Molecule: long non-coding RNA, 889 nt
Organism: Lathyrus oleraceus (garden pea)
Lineage: Eukaryota; Viridiplantae; Streptophyta; Magnoliopsida; Fabales; Fabaceae
Exons: 3
Source: RefSeq, a predicted model, not a curated record
AAAGACUCAAACCUCAUUUCCCUACUUUCAAACAAAGCCCUUCCUCAUGGAGAUUUCUGUUCUUCGCCUAUGUCACGCCUGAAAUUGCUUCCGGUGAGGGUGGAGGCUCAAACACACUAGGCUAAAGCUCAAACUAACUGUCUCCUUCUCCUCUUUCUCAGCUCUAUGCUAAUUACUUUCAAUUUUACCCCAAACGUACAAAUCGAAGGGAUCAUUAGAUGAAGCCUAAAUCAAAUUCUAGAGAUAAAAUGCAAGGGAGAGGGAAUUGGAGCCAAUGUGAUUAGGGUUUCAAUUCCAAAAGAUAUGUACUACAUCGCGCUAACAACAGAAUGCAAAGAAGAAGCCAAGAUGUACGAACAUACACGCGAAAUCUAUGGUGAAGCUAAUAAUAAGAAAAUACCAUAGGCAAAACGCCAGACUUGUGCAACCUAUUUAAACAACUCGAGAUUACAUCAAAAUGUCAAAGUUGCUUUGAGUUGUUGAUGUCAAAAGGUGGCUUACUUGGCUCAAACACUCUACUGCAGUGGUGAUGAAUAUGGUUAUUAUCUUGGCUGGAAUAAUGGAGCAUAUUGGAUUAAGGAAGUUUUGGCUUGGGGAUGAGCUAGCAAGACUUGACCAAGGCAUUUCAUGAACUCAAGAACAAGCAAGGUCAUGGAGAAGUUCUGGUCAACAUGAAUCACUUGAAGGCUUACAAAGAUGGGAUGGAGAAGAUACAUAAUAGGGCUUAGAGUGGGAUUAGUGGUUGACUUUGGUCAAAGCUGACCCAAAAGUCAAUUUUGACCAAAGUCAACUUUGGUCAAACUUGCAUAUUUUUGUAAUUUUAUUUGUAAAAUGAUGUAAUGAAUGGUUUGAAUGAACAUUUAUGUAUGAAAUGGUUAGUUUAUUGAAA